UAGGGAAUCUUCCACAAUGGACGCAAGUCUGAUGGAGCAACGCCGCGUGAGUGAAGAAGGUCUUCGGAUCGUAAAGCUCUGUUGUUGGUGAAGAAGGAUAGAGGCAGUAACUGGUCUUUAUUUGACGGUAAUCAACCAGAAAGUCACGGCUAACUACGUGCCAGCAGCCGCGGUAAUACGUAGGGGCAAGCGUUGUCCGGAUUUAUUGGGCGUAA
Molecule: ribosomal RNA, 215 nt
Filed under: uncultured bacterium
Lineage: Bacteria
Description: partial 16S ribosomal RNA
Rfam family: Bacterial small subunit ribosomal RNA
Source: RNAcentral